CCCGAAACCAGGUGAGCUACCCCGAGACAGCCUAUGUUAAUUUAGGGCUAACCCGUCUCUGUGGCAAAAGAGUGGGAAGAGCUCCGGGUAGAAGUGACAGACCUACCGAACCUGGUGAUAGCUGGUUGCCUGAGAAAUGGAUAGAAGUUCAGCCUCGCAUCCCCCGAUCCAGUGAAUAUAUCAUCAAGAUGCUCAGGGAGACAUGCGGGAGUUAGUUAAAAGGGGUACAGCCCUUUUAACAAAGGAUACAACCUUCACAGGAGGAUAAAGAUCAUAAUAUAUAAGAUAUGCUGUUCUAGUGGGCCUGAAAGCAGCCACCUAAGCAGAAAGCGUUAAAGCUCGGACAGAGAGAAGUUUAUUAUACUGAUAAGAAAUCUUAUUCCCCUAGCUGUAUCAGGCCAACCCAUGCCCCCAUGGAAGAGAUUAUGCUAAAAUGAGUAAUAAGAAGACACGCUCUUCUCCCGGCACACGUGUAAACCAGAUCGGACCAACCACUGGAACUUAACGAACCCAACCCAAGAGGGUAGUGUGAUUAAUAAAAACCUCAAGAAGACCUCACAUCAACUGAUCGUUAACCCCACACCGGAGUGCUAUCUCAAGGGAAAGACUAAAAGAGGAGGAAGGAACUCGGCAAACACAAGCCUCGCCUGUUUACCAAAAACAUCGCCUCCUGCAACUAGACUGAGUAUAGGAGGUCCAGCCUGCCCAGUGACUACGGGUUCAACGGCCGCGGUAUCUUGACCGUGCAAAGGUAGCGCAAUCACUUGUCUCUUAAAUAGAGACCUGUAUGAAUGGCUAGACGAGGGCUUAACUGUCUCCCCCCUCCAGUCAGUGAAAUUGAUCUAUCCGUGCAGAAGCGGGUAUAAAUAUACAAGACGAGAAGACCCUUUGGAGCUUAAGGUACAAAAUUCAACCACGUCAAACAACUCCAUAAAAGGCAAGAACUUAGUGGCAAUGAAAUUUUACCUUCGGUUGGGGCGACCGCGGAGGAAAAACAAGCCUCCGAGUGGACUGGGCCAAACCCCUGAAGCCAAGAGAAACAUCUAGAAGCCGCAGAAUAUCUGACCAAAAAUGAUCCGGCCAAAGGCCGAUCAACGAACCAAGUUACCCAAGGGAUAACAGCGCAAUCCCCUCCCAGAGCCCGUAUCGACGAGGGGGUUUACGACCUCGAUGUUGGAUCAGGACAUCCUAAUGGUGC
This 1198-nucleotide ribosomal RNA is filed under the name Pseudaspius nakamurai. RNAcentral's name for it is "partial 16S ribosomal RNA". It matches the Rfam family "Bacterial large subunit ribosomal RNA", at positions 714 to 2556 of the family's 2925-position model. The record is from RNAcentral. Lineage: Eukaryota; Metazoa; Chordata; Actinopteri; Cypriniformes; Leuciscidae.